This 1173-nucleotide ribosomal RNA is filed under the name Bacteroidales bacterium. Its description in RNAcentral is "partial 23S ribosomal RNA". It matches the Rfam family "Archaeal large subunit ribosomal RNA", at positions 1 to 1220 of the family's 2987-position model. Lineage: Bacteria; Pseudomonadati; Bacteroidota; Bacteroidia; Bacteroidales. The record is from RNAcentral.
CAGCGGCGAUGCUACGCCGUAUGGGGGAUGGUUCGGCUAGAGCGCCGAAGAAGGUCGUGUCAAGCUGCGAUAUUCGUCGGGUAGGUGCAAGAAGCCUAUGAUCCGACGGUCACCUAAUGGGACUUCCUAUUCUUCGGAAUGGUCGGUAGCGACCGGGAACGCGGGGGAUUGAAGCAUCUUAGUACCCGCAGGAAAAGAAAUCAACAGAGAUACCGUUAUUAAAGGCGAUCGAAAGCGGUGUUAGGGCAAACCGAAUCCCCUCCCGAAAGGGAGGGGAGAUGUGGUGUAGAAGGCCCGCCCACGCCUACGUCCGCAGAUCCGAGGUCGGCUGGAAAGCCGCGCCGCAGAGGGUGAGAGCCCCGUAGGAGAAGGCGGACACGGCGAUUGAGGGUGUCCAGGAGUAGCGUGCGUCGGAUAUCGCGCGCGAAUUCGGGAGGCAUUCACUUCCAACCCUAAAUACGUCUCUAGUCCGAUAGCGCAGUAGUAGCGUGAGCGAACACUGAAAAGCACCCUUAACGGGAGGUCAAAAGACCUGAAACCAUACGGUCAAAGAUUCAUAUAGCAUCAAAGGGAAGAAACCGCAAGGUGGACCAGUGUUAUAUCGUCCGUUUAGAAAAACGGUCCAGGGAGUUCUGGUCAUUGGCGAGGUUAACUCUUCAAUGAGGAAGCCGGAGGGAAACCGAUUGCCCGCAGCUUUAUGCGAGGGGCAGGGUGCGCUCGCCCGGAGUCAAUGGUGCGGAUACCCGAAGCCGGUCGAUCUAUGCCUGAGCAGGUUGAAGCCCCUCGAAGGGGGGGUGGAGGACCGAACCAGUUCUGAUGUGCAAAUCGUUUGGAUGACUUGGGUAUAGGGGUGAAAGGCCAAUCUAGGCCGGAAAUAGCUGGUUCCCCCUGAAACUAGUCGCAGCUAGACCUCGGCCGAGGCGGAACGUGAGGUAGAGCACCGAUUGGGUGCUUAGGGGAGGAAACUCCUCGGCAUCUUGUCGAACUCCGAACUUGCGUUCACCGUAGACGCCGGGUGUGAGGCCAUCCGGGGUAAGCUUGGUGGCCAUAAGGGAAACAACCCAGACCGCAGUUAAGGUCCCUAAAUUUCGGUCAAGUGUAAUACGAAAUGGCGUCGGCAGUCCAAAACAACCGGGAGGUUGGCUUAGAAGCAGCCAUCCUUCAAAGAUAGCG